This 470-nucleotide ribosomal RNA is filed under the name Veillonella parvula. RNAcentral's name for it is "bacterial SSU rRNA". It matches the Rfam family "Bacterial small subunit ribosomal RNA", at positions 28 to 475 of the family's 1533-position model. Lineage: Bacteria; Bacillati; Bacillota; Negativicutes; Veillonellales; Veillonellaceae. The record is from RNAcentral.
GACGAACGCUGGCGGCGUGCUUAACACAUGCAAGUCGAACGAAGAGCGACGGAAGCUUGCUUCUAUCAAUCUUAGUGGCGAACGGGUGAGUAACGCGUAAUCAACCUGCCCUUCAGAGGGGGACAACAGUUGGAAACGACUGCUAAUACCGCAUACGAUCUAACCUCGGCAUCGAGGAUAGAUGAAAGGUGGCCUCUACAUGUAAGCUAUCACUGAAGGAGGGGAUUGCGUCUGAUUAGCUAGUUGGAGGGGUAACGGCCCACCAAGGCGAUGAUCAGUAGCCGGUCUGAGAGGAUGAACGGCCACAUUGGGACUGAGACACGGCCCAGACUCCUACGGGAGGCAGCAGUGGGGAAUCUUCCGCAAUGGACGAAAGUCUGACGGAGCAACGCCGCGUGAGUGAUGACGGCCUUCGGGUUGUAAAGCUCUGUUAAUCGGGACGAAAGGCCUUCUUGCGAAUAGUGAGAAGG